GCUAAUACAUGCAAGUCGAGCGAACAGACGAGGAGCUUGCUCCUUUGACGUUAGCGGCGGACGGGUGAGUAACACGUAGGUAACCUACCUAUAAGACUGGGAUAACUUCGGGAAACCGGAGCUAAUACCGGAUAAUAUUUCGAACCGCAUGGUUCGAUAGUGAAAGAUGGCUUUGCUAUCACUUAUAGAUGGACCUGCGCCGUAUUAGCUAGUUGGUAAGGUAACGGCUUACCAAGGCAACGAUACGUAGCCGACCUGAGAGGGUGAUCGGCCACACUGGAACUGAGACACGGUCCAGACUCCUACGGGAGGCAGCAGUAGGGAAUCUUCCGCAAUGGGCGAAAGCCUGACGGAGCAACGCCGCGUGAGUGAUGAAGGUCUUCGGAUCGUAAAACUCUGUUAUUAGGGAAGAACAAACGUGUAAGUAACUGUGCACGUCUUGACGGUACCUAAUCAGAAAGCCACGGCUAACUACGUGCCAGCAGCGGGGGGAAAA
Molecule: ribosomal RNA, 496 nt
Filed under: Staphylococcus hominis
Lineage: Bacteria; Bacillati; Bacillota; Bacilli; Caryophanales; Staphylococcaceae
Description: bacterial SSU rRNA
Rfam family: Bacterial small subunit ribosomal RNA
Source: RNAcentral